This 520-nucleotide ribosomal RNA is filed under the name uncultured Entrophospora. RNAcentral describes it as "SSU rRNA". It matches the Rfam family "Eukaryotic small subunit ribosomal RNA", at positions 569 to 1084 of the family's 1831-position model. The record is from RNAcentral. Lineage: Eukaryota; Fungi; Glomeromycota; Glomeromycetes; Entrophosporales; Entrophosporaceae.
AGCAGCCGCGGUAAUUCCAGCUCCAAUAGCGUAUAUUAAAGUUGUUGCAGUUAAAAAGCUCGUAGUUGAAUUUCGGGAUUGACCCAUCGGUCGUGCCUUAAGGGGUAUGAACUGGUGUAGUCAAUUUCUCACCUUCUGGAGAACCGUGAUGUCCUUAAUUGGGUGCCACGAGGAACCAGGACCUUUACUUUGAAAAAAUUAGAGUGUUUAAAGCAGGCAUUUUUGCUUGAAUACAUUAGCAUGGAAUAAUAAAAUAAGGCGGCAUGAUUCUAUUUUGUUGGUUUCUAGGAUCACCGUAAUGAUUAAUAGGGAUAGUUGGGGGCAUUAGUAUUCAAUUGUCAGAGGUGAAAUUCUUGGAUUUAUUGAAGACUAACUACUGCGAAAGCAUUUGCCAAGGAUGUUUUCAUUAAUCAAGAACGAAAGUUAGGGGAUCGAAGACGAUCAGAUACCGUCGUAGUCUUAACCAUAAACUAUGCCGACUAGGGAUCGGAGAUGUCAAAUUUUUAAUGACUCAUUCGGC